AUGGGGGCAGCUGAGCAGCGAUGCCGCGUGCGUGAUGAAGGCCUUCGGGUUGUAUACCUCUUUUGUACGGGACGAUACGGUCCUUUCUCCUUGUGAGGCUACGGACAGUUCCGUACCAAUAACCACCGGCUUACAACGUGCCAGCAGCCGCGGUAAUAC
This 159-nucleotide ribosomal RNA is filed under the name uncultured Comamonadaceae bacterium. RNAcentral describes it as "partial 16S ribosomal RNA". It matches the Rfam family "Bacterial small subunit ribosomal RNA", at positions 371 to 526 of the family's 1533-position model. Lineage: Bacteria; Pseudomonadati; Pseudomonadota; Betaproteobacteria; Burkholderiales; Comamonadaceae. The record is from RNAcentral.